AUGUCUUAUGUGUCCAGGCCUCCGAGUCCUUUUCUUCCUGAAGUUGCGUUCUGACCCCUGUGACCAGUAAUGCCAUGUUGAUACUUGAAGUCCCUUAAACACUGUGUCUCAUUUUUUAUCCACCAACAAUGCUAUUAAACUGUUGCAGAAAAGGCGUUGAAUCAAGAGUAGCGUGACCUGGGAAGCAAUACUUCAAGUCUGUUCUGCAUUGAUGAGAUUGCAAUUGAAGCAUGCAUCCAGAUUUGAAUCCUUCAGGCGUUAAGGAGGGAGGACUGCAUUUCUCAUGAGGCACAACAUUUUGAGAGGGGUGUUUCUGGAUGGGGGAGGAAGCAAAAAAACAGGAGUUUCACUUGAAAAAUGGACGCCCGUUGUCAGAGAGCUCUUGUACAGCUGGUAUUGGAGUGUAUAUACAUCCUCUGGGGACAUUUAAGUCUGUAGGAAAGAAUCGCCGAGACUCAAUGGCUGUUCCUUUGGUGGAGACAUCCAUAUGCUUCGUGGCUAUGUGUCAUGCAGAGUGGGGAAGAGAAGCCUUCUCAUGUCUCGUGCCUCCAAGCAUGCACGUGAACACACACACACACAUGCACACUCAGACACAUGCACCCUCAGACACGCUAUGCUUUUCACUGCAUCCUAGAGAGUUGGCUGGUGCUUUCAAGUGUUUAUGUAACACCGUCAUUGCUAGUUAAUGCAUUGGAAACGCUGAACAGCAAUUAAAUAGCAAUUAGUAAGCUGAA
This is a long non-coding RNA of Aquila chrysaetos chrysaetos, 734 nucleotides long. RefSeq lists it as uncharacterized. The record is from RefSeq and is a predicted model, not a curated record. NCBI's taxonomy places the organism in Eukaryota, Metazoa, Chordata, Aves, Accipitriformes, Accipitridae. The transcript has 2 exons.